This 624-nucleotide ribosomal RNA is filed under the name uncultured bacterium. Its description in RNAcentral is "bacterial SSU rRNA". It matches the Rfam family "Bacterial small subunit ribosomal RNA", at positions 127 to 746 of the family's 1533-position model. The record is from RNAcentral.
UGUCUUCUAGUGGGGGAUAACUGCCCGAAAGGGCAGCUAAUACCGCAUGAGACCUGAGGGUGAAAGCGGGGGAUCGCAAGACCUCGCGCUGGAAGAGCGGCCGAUGUCCGAUUAGCUAGUUGGUGAGGUAAAGGCUCACCAAGGCGACGAUCGGUAGCUGGUCUGAGAGGACGACCAGCCACACUGGGACUGAGACACGGCCCAGACUCCUACGGGAGGCAGCAGUGGGGAAUUUUGGACAAUGGGGGCAACCCUGAUCCAGCCAUGCCGCGUGCAGGAUGAAGGUCUUCGGAUUGUAAACUGCUUUUGUCAGGGACGAAAAGGGAUGCGAUAACACCGCAUUCCGCUGACGGUACCUGAAGAAUAAGCACCGGCUAACUACGUGCCAGCAGCCGCGGUAAUACGUAGGGUGCAAGCGUUAAUCGGAAUUACUGGGCGUAAAGCGUGCGCAGGCGGUUCUGUAAGAUAGAUGUGAAAUCCCCGGGCUCAACCUGGGAAUUGCAUAUAUGACUGCAGGACUUGAGUUUGUCAGAGGAGGGUGGAAUUCCACGUGUAGCAGUGAAAUGCGUAGAUAUGUGGAAGAGCACCGAUGGCGAAGGCAGCCCUCUGGGACAUGACUGACGC